Molecule: ribosomal RNA, 170 nt
Filed under: Staphylococcus haemolyticus
Lineage: Bacteria; Bacillati; Bacillota; Bacilli; Caryophanales; Staphylococcaceae
Description: partial 16S ribosomal RNA
Rfam family: Bacterial small subunit ribosomal RNA
Source: RNAcentral
UUUAUGGAGAGUUUGAUCCUGGCUCAGGAUGAACGCUGGCGGUGUGCCUAAUACAUGCAAGUCGAGCGAACAGAUAAGGAGCUUGCUCCUUUGACGUUAGCGGCGGACGGGUGAGUAACACGUGGGUAACCUACCUAUAAGACUGGGAUAACUUCGGGAAACCGGAGCUA